UACAGAGGGGGCAAGCGUUGUUCGGAAUUACUGGGCGUAAAGGGCGCGUAGGCGCCUUCUAAGUCGAACGUGAAAUCCCCGGGCUCAACCCGGGAACUGCGUCCGAUACUGGAAGGCUUGAAUCCGGGAGAGGGAUGUGGAAUUCCAGGUGUAGCGGUGAAAUGCGUAGAUAUCUGGAGGAACACCGGUGGCGAAGGCGACAUCCUGGACAUGUAUUGACGCUGAGGUGCGAAAGCGUGGGUAGCGAACAGG
Molecule: ribosomal RNA, 252 nt
Filed under: uncultured bacterium
Lineage: Bacteria
Description: partial 16S ribosomal RNA
Rfam family: Bacterial small subunit ribosomal RNA
Source: RNAcentral